Molecule: RNA transcript, 2306 nt
Organism: Solanum dulcamara
Lineage: Eukaryota; Viridiplantae; Streptophyta; Magnoliopsida; Solanales; Solanaceae
Gene name: vacuolar-sorting receptor 1-like
Exons: 12
Source: RefSeq, a predicted model, not a curated record
CAUAUUUUACACGUCUCCACUCUUUUGGUCAUUAACAUUACAACCCUUCUUCCCUUUACUUGUUCAAAGACUCGAGCUUUUAAUUAUUCACCUGAGAGGAUCAAUUUGCUUUGAUCUGGGUGACAUCAAGAUUUGAUUUUUUUUUCAUGUAAAUUUGCAGUUUUGGGGGGUUUAGCUGAUCUGGGUCAUCUUUAUUUUUCUCCAUCCGAGGGAGGAAAUGAAGAUGAAAGUAGGGUUUUUAGUGUGUAUAUGUUUUGUGCUGUGUGGUUGUUGUAUGGGUAGAUUCGUGGUGGAGAAGAACAGCUUGAGAGUAACAUCUCCAGACUCAAUCAAAGAGGUGUAUGAGUGUGCAAUUGGCAACUUUGGGGUCCCACAGUAUGGAGGAACCAUGACAGAUUGCUAUUUCACACUGAAGGCUUGGAAUGCUCAGCAAGCUGGAGCAGGCGCUAUUCUUGUUGCUGAUGACCGUAUUGAACCUUUAAUUACCAUGGACACUCCCGAGGAAGAGGACGCAAAGGCAGAUUAUUUGCAAGAUAUAACUAUUCCAUCAGCUUUAAUUAGCAAAUCUCUUGGGGAUAGCAUCAAGAAGGAACCAUCUAGAGGAGAAAUGGUUAACAUAAACCUCGAUUGGAGAGAGGCUCUUCCACAUCCCGAUGAGCGAGUGGAGUAUGAAUUUUGGACCAAUAGUAAUGAUGAGUGUGGCCCCAAGUGUGAAAGCCAGAGAGAGUUUGUCAAAAACUUCAAGGGGGCUGCCCAGAUACUUGAGCAGAAAGGCUAUACACAGUUUACUCCCCAUUACAUAACUUGGUAUUGCCCGGAGGCUUUUAUUUUGAGCAAGCAAUGCAAGUCUCAGUGCAUCAACCAUGGCAGAUACUGUGCUCCAGACCCUGAGCAAGACUUUAGUAAAGGUUAUGAUGGAAAGGAUGUUGUUUUGCAAAAUUUACGUCAAGCUUGUUUUUAUAAGGUUGCCAAUGAAAGUGGAAAACCCUGGUUGUGGUGGGAUUAUGUCACUGACUUUGCAAUACGAUGUCCAAUGAAAGAGAAGAAAUACACAAAAGAAUGUGCUGAUCAAGUAAUCAAGUCACUUGGCUUUGACGUCAAACAGAUUGAAAAAUGUGUUGGUGAUCCUGAAGCAGAUACUGACAACCCUGUUCUAAAGGCUGAACAGGACACCCAGGGUGCUCGUGGGGAUGUGACUAUCUUGCCAACUCUCGUUAUAAACAAUAGACAGUACAGAGGUAAGCUGGCCAAGGGAGCAGUCCUCAAGGCAAUUUGUUCAGGUUUUGAGCAGACAACAGAGCCGGCAAUUUGUUUAACUGAAGAAAUAGAAUCAAAUGAAUGCUUAGAAUCAAAUGGUGGGUGCUGGCAGGACGAGACUGCUAACAUUACAGCAUGCCAGGAUACAUUCCGUGGUAGAAUAUGUGAAUGCCCAGUAGUUCAGGGAGUAAAAUUUGUUGGUGAUGGUUAUACUCACUGUGAAGCAUCUGGAGCAUUGCGAUGUGAAAUAAACAAUGGAGGCUGUUGGAAGGGAACCCAAAGUGGCAGGGCAUAUUCUGCUUGCAUUGAUGAUUCACACAAAGGGUUGCAAAUGUCCACCAGGAUUCAAAGGGGAUGGAGUUAACAGUUGUGAGGAUAGUGAUGAAUGCAAGGGGAUGUUAGCUUGCCAGUGUGCUGAGUGCAAAUGCAAGAACACUUGGGGUAGUUAUGAUUGCAGUUGCAGCGCCAAUUUGUUGUACAUGCCAUGAACAUGACACGUGUAUAAGCAAAGAUGCCAAGUCAGAGUUCAGCUGGGGCCUUGUUUGGACUAUCAUCUUGGGUUUGGCUGUUGUGGGGGUUUCAGCAUAUGCUGUGUACAAGUAUAGGAUUCGGAGAUACAUGGACUCAGAGAUUCGCGCCAUCAUGGCACAAUAUAUGCCUUUGGAUCAAGGAGAGGGAGCUAAUAAUGUUCCCCACAGGAACGUCUAAUGAUAGACCAUUACUGAAGAAUGAUGAUGGCCUGGGUAGAAUGCAGUCUCCACUGGAUGUUUGCCACCUGUUAGUCAGCCUAAAGUUCUUUGUGCUUAUGCAGUUCCUCUAAGAACACUCCUCUCUCGUCGUCUAAACAAAUUAGAUCUUAUUUAUGUACAUGUAUAACCUAACAAUGCACAUAAACCCAAUAAAAGGAAUUGUCCUUGAAUUGGAUUUGCGCGUGAUGUUUCACUUUGUAUUCCACCGGAGAGCAUUUUGCAUUGCACAAUAUGGUAUGAAUGGGUGGUAAGGUGUCAUAGUAUGCCAUCUCUACCUGUUUUGGAGUGAGGCAAAAUUAA